UACGAAGGUCCCGAGCGUUGUUCGGAAUCACUGGGCGUAAAGGGAGCGUAGGCGGCGUGGUAAGUCAGAUGUGAAAUCCCGGGGCUCAACCCCGGAACUGCAUCCGAUACUGCCGUGCUAGAGGAUUGGAGAGGUAGCUGGAAUUCACGGUGUAGCAGUGAAAUGCGUGGAUAUCGUGAGGAACACUCGUGGCGAAAGCGAGCUACUGGACAACUCCUGACGCUGAGGCUCGAAGGCCAGGGUAGCGAAA
This 250-nucleotide ribosomal RNA is filed under the name uncultured bacterium. RNAcentral describes it as "partial 16S ribosomal RNA". It matches the Rfam family "Bacterial small subunit ribosomal RNA", at positions 524 to 773 of the family's 1533-position model. The record is from RNAcentral.